UACGGAGGGGGCUAGCGUUGUUCGGAAUUACUGGGCGUAAAGCGCACGUAGGCGGCUUUGUAAGUUAGAGGUGAAAACCCGGGGCUCAACUCCGGAAUUGCCUUUAAGACUGCAUCGCUAGAAUUGUGGAGAGGUAAGUGGAAUUCCGAGUGUAGAGGUGAAAUUCGUAGAUAUUCGGAAGAACACCAGUGGCGAAGGCGACUUACUGGACACAUAUUGACGCUGAGGUGCGAAAGCGUGGGGAGCAAACAGG
RNAcentral lists this ribosomal RNA (253 nucleotides) under uncultured bacterium. RNAcentral's name for it is "partial 16S ribosomal RNA". It matches the Rfam family "Bacterial small subunit ribosomal RNA", at positions 524 to 776 of the family's 1533-position model. The record is from RNAcentral.